CCGGGUGCAAGUCGUGGGCCUUCCCCAGCUAAAGCUGGUAACUAGCUAACUCAGUGGUCAUUGGCCCCUACAGCAGGAGUUGGGCCACUUUGAAGUUUUUCUCGUGGGAAAAAGUUGUGUCCAAAGAAGAAGAGGUGUAGCAAGGAGGUUCCUAUCCACCAUGGCUCCUACAUAGCCAACUGCACUCCAAUCCACCAGUGAUAAAGCACCCAGGAAACAACUAGUUACAAAAGCUGCUCUUAAGAGCACACCCUCUAUUGGAGGGGUGAAGAAACAUCACUGUCAC
RNAcentral lists this long non-coding RNA (286 nucleotides) under Cavia porcellus (domestic guinea pig). RNAcentral's name for it is "lncRNA (ENSCPOG00000030810.1)". The record is from RNAcentral. Lineage: Eukaryota; Metazoa; Chordata; Mammalia; Rodentia; Caviidae.